Molecule: non-coding RNA, 645 nt
Organism: Cinara cedri
Lineage: Eukaryota; Metazoa; Arthropoda; Insecta; Hemiptera; Aphididae
Source: the annotation of a GenBank genome assembly
UUCACGCAAGCCAAACUAAAAAAAGGCAUUUACCACGGCUUUUGCGUUUCGUUGAAUUGAUUUUUCCGUAGACGCGCCGCAACGAAGUUGUCUCCGAACCGUCGUCACCUACGCGGUUUUAUAAACGGGCGUUUUAUUCAACAGCCGCGAUUUAAUCAGCAUUUCCAUUUGUGUUGCGCGAACGCAUUUGUUUCCGUUCGAAAAAUCGCAAAGACGGCGGACGCCACAUUGUGACGCUACUUAUCAACACGAGCGCGAGACAGGAAACGACAAUAUAGUUUUGAACGCGGUGACGGCGACGACGCACGCGACGUUCGAGUAAUAAUUCUCCUCGUUUAUAUGCUCUGUUUAUCGAAUAAUUAUUUCGAAAUCACCUAAUGUCGACUGAUCAUGCGCAGCACAUAAAAGCACCGCGUUCACGUUCAGCGGCAACAGCUCCGCAGUGUUUUUGGUCUUAUUACAUUAGAGCGCGGAUUGACCGUAUUAUCAAACUAGUUGAAAGUGAGUAUGUUAUCUAGGCAACUGCAGUUGUACGCGCGUUAUGUCGCUUGAAAAUUAAAACCGACGUAGAGUCGCACGGACAUGUCCAAGUCCGUUUGUCGGUAAAUUUGUUUCGGUAUGAAGACCAAUAACAGUCGGCGCCGA